Long non-coding RNA from Zingiber officinale, 727 nucleotides. RefSeq lists it as uncharacterized. NCBI's taxonomy places the organism in Eukaryota, Viridiplantae, Streptophyta, Magnoliopsida, Zingiberales, Zingiberaceae. The transcript has 2 exons. The record is from RefSeq and is a predicted model, not a curated record.
GUGAGCUUGCGCUACUGUUCAUAGUGUUGUUUCUCUCGACGGCGCGAACGCGGCUCCUCUCUACUCCUAGAUCUGCAGAUCAGCUUGUCUUCAUCAGCGUGGAGGUUUUCAACUUCUGACGGCCAAUUCCUGAGCACCGUUCGUCUUCGUCGAGUGAGUUUGGCUGGCGGAUCACUGUAGCUGCAGAGUGUGUUUCUUUCAUCAGUCCAGCAGUGUUCCUCUGGCUCUCCAUCCUUCGUAGCCCUUCGCCUAGCUCGUGAUUCCAGCGCUAAUGAAUCCUGUGUGCAACAGUGAGAAACUUGAACUCGCUGAAGAUUAGUGAGCAGAUUCAGGUGAAUCUGAGUUCGUCCACAAGUUCGAGAUCACCAUUCUGACUUCUGUUGGAGCGGUCUCUGCAGAUCCUUGUGUGACGGCAAGGAGAAGACAAUUUUGAUUUAAGAUUUGGUUGUAGGGAUGUUGAUGUUAGGUUUCUUGUAGUUUGAUUCUUAGCAUAGAGCUUCUUGAUUCUGCACUUUUGUUUUUGAAAUUUGCUAGUCCAUAGCUUAGAUUUGUUUGUAGUCUCAUUUUCUGCAUGAAUCUGUUCUUUUAGUUCUAUUACCUUGUGUUCUGUUUUCUGCUUUGUCUGUUCAGCAGUUCUGUUGCAAACUUUGUGUCUUAAUUUCGUUGAGAAAUUCCUGUAUCAGUGAUCUUUUAGCUGAUAAUUUAGUUAGUUUAAUAGAUUAAUUAA